AUACGGAGGGUGCAAGCGUUGUUCGGAAUUAUUGGGCGUAAAGAGCAUGUAGGCGGACUGUUAAGUCUGGUGUGAAAGCCCGGGGCUCAACCCCGGAAGUGCAUUGGAUACUGGCAGUCUUGAGUAUGGGAGAGGAAAGUGGAAUUCCGAGUGUAGGAGUUAAGUCCGUAGAUAUUCGGAGGAACACCAGUGGCGAAGGCGGCUUUCUGGACCAAUACUGACGCUGAGAUGCGAAAGCGUGGGGAGCGAACAGGAUUAGAAACCCCAGUAGUCC
Molecule: ribosomal RNA, 274 nt
Filed under: uncultured bacterium
Lineage: Bacteria
Description: partial 16S ribosomal RNA
Rfam family: Bacterial small subunit ribosomal RNA
Source: RNAcentral